RNAcentral lists this ribosomal RNA (555 nucleotides) under Colletotrichum gloeosporioides. RNAcentral describes it as "eukaryotic LSU rRNA". The stretch from base 192 to 345 matches the Rfam family "5.8S ribosomal RNA". The record is from RNAcentral. Lineage: Eukaryota; Fungi; Ascomycota; Sordariomycetes; Glomerellales; Glomerellaceae.
ACCUGCGGAGGGAUCAUUACUGAGUUUACGCUCUAUAACCCUUUGUGAACAUACCUAUAACUGUUGCUUCGGCGGGUAGGGUCUCCGUGACCCUCCCGGCCUCCCGCCCCCGGGCGGGUCGGCGCCCGCCGGAGGAUAACCAAACUCUGAUUUAACGACGUUUCUUCUGAGUGGUACAAGCAAAUAAUCAAAACUUUUAACAACGGAUCUCUUGGUUCUGGCAUCGAUGAAGAACGCAGCGAAAUGCGAUAAGUAAUGUGAAUUGCAGAAUUCAGUGAAUCAUCGAAUCUUUGAACGCACAUUGCGCCCGCCAGCAUUCUGGCGGGCAUGCCUGUUCGAGCGUCAUUUCAACCCUCAAGCUCUGCUUGGUGUUGGGGCCCUACAGCUGAUGUAGGCCCUCAAAGGUAGUGGCGGACCCUCCCGGAGCCUCCUUUGCGUAGUAACUUUACGUCUCGCACUGGGAUCCGGAGGGACUCUUGCCGUAAAACCCCCAAUUCUCCAAAGGUUGACCUCGGAUCAGGUAGGAAUACCCGCUGAACUUAAGCAUAUCAAUAG